UACAUGGGGUGCAAACGUUGCUCGGAAUUAUUGGGCGUAAAGCGCGCGUAGGCGGUUAUGAAAGUCGGAUGUGAAAGCCCUCGGCUUAACUGAGGAAGUGCACCCGAAACUGAGUAGCUAGAGUACUAAAGAGGGUCGCGGAAUUCCCGGUGUAGAGGUGAAAUUCGUAGAUAUCGGGAGGAACACCGGUGGCGAAGGCGGCUUUUUGGGCCGUUCCUGACGCUGAGGCGCGAAAGCCAGGGGAGCGAACGGG
RNAcentral lists this ribosomal RNA (253 nucleotides) under uncultured bacterium. Its description in RNAcentral is "partial 16S ribosomal RNA". It matches the Rfam family "Bacterial small subunit ribosomal RNA", at positions 524 to 776 of the family's 1533-position model. The record is from RNAcentral.